GACGUUGGGAAAGCGAGCGGCGGAUGGGUGAGUAACACGUGGGGAACCUGCCCCUAAGUCUGGGAUACCAUUUGGAAACAGGUGCUAAUACCGGAUAAUAAAGCAGAUCGCAUGAUCAGCUUUUGAAAGGCGGCGUAAGCUGUCGCUAAGGGAUGGCCCCGCGGUGCAUUAGCUAGUUGGUAAGGUAACGGCUUACCAAGGCGACGAUGCAUAGCCGAGUUGAGAGACUGAUCGGCCACAUUGGGACUGAGACACGGCCCAAACUCCUACGGGAGGCAGCAGUAGGGAAUCUUCCACAAUGGACGCAAGUCUGAUGGAGCAACGCCGCGUGAGUGAAGAAGGUUUUCGGAUCGUAAAGCUCUGUUGUUGGUGAAGAAGGAUAGAGGUAGUAACUGGCCUUUAUUUGACGGUAAUCAACCAGAAAGUCACGGCUAACUACGUGCCAGCAGCCGCGGUAAUACGUAGGUGGCAAGCGUUGUCCGGAUUUAUUGGGCGUAAAGCGAGCGCAGGCGGAAAAAUAAGUCUAAUGUGAAAGCCCUCGGCUUAACCGAGGAACUGCAUCGGAAACUGUUUUUCUUGAGUGCAGAAGAGGAGAGUGGAACUCCAUGUGUAGCGGUGGAAUGCGUAGAUAUAUGGAAGAACACCAGUGGCGAAGGCGGCUCUCUGGUCUGCAACUGACGCUGAGGCUCGAAAGCAUGGGUAGCGAACAGGAUUAGAUACCCUGGUAGUCCAUGCCGUAAACGAUGAGUGCUAAGUGUUGGGAGGUUUCCGCCUCUCAGUGCUGCAGCUAACGCAUUAAGCACUCCGCCUGGGGAGUACGACCGCAAGGUUGAAACUCAAAGGAAUUGACGGGGGCCC
This 858-nucleotide ribosomal RNA is filed under the name uncultured bacterium. RNAcentral's name for it is "bacterial SSU rRNA". It matches the Rfam family "Bacterial small subunit ribosomal RNA", at positions 79 to 922 of the family's 1533-position model. The record is from RNAcentral.